Brassica napus (rape) is the source of this 1792-nucleotide long non-coding RNA. RefSeq lists it as uncharacterized. The record is from RefSeq and is a predicted model, not a curated record. Lineage: Eukaryota; Viridiplantae; Streptophyta; Magnoliopsida; Brassicales; Brassicaceae. The transcript has 6 exons.
CACUUGAGAGAGGUUCUUAUUGAAACAUCUGACACUACUAAAAGCCCGAUAACAAAGCUUCUGAGUGUGUCCACGUUGGAGUGGAAAAUCGACCAAUAAUAUUACAGCAUUCGUCCAUGUCAUCAUCGAUUUGGUUUGAUUGGGCUUCAUCUGGGUUCGGUCUGUUUGGUCUCCAGUUUAAAGCCCAAAUUCAUUUCUGUCUUGAUAGCAAUUGUUAGUCGUAAGUCGUAACCCUACCUACCUCUGUUCUUCUCUUACCUUUCGGCUUCUACAACUUCGAUUUCUUUUCUCUCCGGAACCGUUUCAACCAAUUACUUCACCACUAGCUGUUCUAAUCAAAACUUUUGCUUGAUCUCAUUCUCAUUCAAUGAAUUCCUUUCACCUUCCUCUCCAUUCGUCUAUUUAUAAAGCUCUUCUCAUAUCAUAUGUCUCAGUUAAAAUUGAUAAGAUUCUCUUAGAUAUUUAUCUUGAUGGAACAAGAAGACCGUCUCAUCCUCCGCGAUUGCCAAACCAGACGGAAAGUCGACUGCUUCAAUUACUGAUUGAGAUAGGGUUUCGAUUUUGACGCUUGAUCUUCGUUUUCAUCAACAGAAACGCUCCCAUUACUGAUUCAUCCCGUUAAUCCUUUUAUUAAAUCCAUCAACCACGAUUUAGCCUUCAAUGCAAGUUUGCGGUGUAUCAGCGAGUAUAUAAAGGUAUCCUUGCUCCUCUCUAAUCCAUAUUCUCAAUCUUUCUCUGGGAGACCAGGAAUGUCAGGCGGUGGAGAACUCAUUGGGUUGAUAUGCUCAUGGUGGAUGUAAAUGCCACCAUUAAUUCUAACCGACGACUUGCUCUCAGCAUUCAGCAUUCAAUCUUCAUAAAAGCCACGGUGUACAAGCAUCUUAUCAAGGCGGGUUCAAUUUAUUCCAUAAGCGGUUUUGAUGUGACUCAGAGCAAUCUGAACCUUAAGUUGUCCGUCUCUCCUCUAUCGAUUUGACUCCACCGUUGAAUUUCGUCUCCACUGUCGAGAUAAAAUGGAGAGAUUGCACGAAAGAUACGUUUCUUCAAAGACCAAAUGUCAAAAAAAGUUGGAGUAUCUCCCCAAGAGUUCAUAGACAAAGAAGUUUAAAUGGAUUUGGAUGAUGUUGAGGUCGAGCUUGGGGAGCCAGAAGCUGAACUUUACGUAAUCAAGGCUAUUAAUAAAAAGCUGCAACGCUCUUACAAUUAACUUGUGGAUUUUAGGUCUCCUAGCAACUGUUCUUAUACAGGUGAAUCUGCAUCUUGGUUUAGGUCUCAGUCUUUAUUUCAGCUCUCACAAUAAGCGUAGGAGAGAGAUAGAGAGAGUACUAAUCAUAUUGACAUCGCUGCAAUAGCCCUAUCAACAGUAGGAUCCUUAGUGUCUUACAUGGUAACUCUUGCAAAGGUUUAUUGUUACGUUCAAGACCAAUGUUACCGCUGAGAGAGCAGAGACUUUGCUCUAUUGUUAUUGUCUCAAACAUCGUUAGAUGAAUUCAAGAUUCUGUAAAUAAGGAUGUUAUAAAAGCUAGGAUGGAGAGCUGUUCAAGAGUACUUCAAGGUUUAUCUUUCAACACUGUUGUGUGAAAUGAUGCUGUUAUCUUUGUAGACAAAAGUAUGAGACGUACUGAAUGACUUCUUAUAGGUUUUACACGUAGUGAAUGACUUCUUAUAGGUUUUAGUUUUACGGUUUACUUCUAUGUCUGUUCUUUUCCUUCUGUUCUCUUAUAUCUCAUGUAAAAUUAGUCAGAUAAAAACCAAUGUAAAAUCUAGAAAUAAUGUAUUUUUUUUUGCUCAA